This is an RNA transcript of Synchiropus splendidus (mandarinfish), 11899 nucleotides long. It is a transcript of the gene named CDK5 regulatory subunit associated protein 1, with no coding region annotated. The transcript is spliced from 13 exons. NCBI's taxonomy places the organism in Eukaryota, Metazoa, Chordata, Actinopteri, Syngnathiformes, Callionymidae. The record is from RefSeq and is a predicted model, not a curated record.
UGAAGAGUGCAUAAUGCUCUCGGAAUUGAUCGGGUUUACUUUUAUUUAUUGAUAUUUUCCAGUUAUUUUCAGUCUAUCGAGCCUUUACACCAAAUCGUUUGACAGAGUGAUUCGUCAUCUUGUUCAAACGCCUCUUUGGCUCAACGUGACCUCGUCGCUGCCAACGCUGCUACGAGCAACUCGCGCUGUGACGGAAAACAGCUAAAUAUGCUCGAGUGAUUCCGCUGUUCGGGUUAAUGUGAGCCGAGAGCUUCCAAAACAUGGAGCAUCUCAGGACGUUAAGACACUCGAGUGUGGUCAGGUACAUGCACGCAAGGUUCCGCUGCACCUCCAUAGAUGGAGCGCGCUUGAGGGACCGCCGGGAAAGUGUCAGAACUCGGGUGUUAUCUGGCCCGAGUUUCCAGGAUUUCAUCCAAGGAGCCGCUGCUAAGAAAAGCCAUGUUCCUCAAGGUGAAGACAAACAUCCGUAUCUGUCCGAGGACGUGCUGGCGGGUCGUUCACGUAAAGUGUAUUUUGAGACCUACGGGUGCCAAAUGAACGUGAAUGACACGGAGAUAGCCUGGUCCAUCCUGCAGAAGAAGGGAUACCAACGCACGGUGGACGUGCAGCAGGCGGAUGUGGUUCUCCUUGUGACCUGCUCCAUCAGAGAAAAAGCAGAGCAAACCAUUUGGAACAGACUCCAGCAACUGACAGCAAUGAAGAAGAAGCGACUCAAGUCGCAGACACCAAUGAAAAUCGGUAUUUUAGGUUGCAUGGCGGAGAGGCUGAAGACGAAGCUGUUGGAAAAGGAGAAGCUUGUCGACGUUCUGGCUGGCCCCGAUGCCUACCGUGACCUUCCUCGCCUGCUGACCGUGGCUGACCAGGGGCGGCAGGCCAGUAACGUGCUGCUGUCGUUGGAGGAGACGUACGCCGACAUCAUGCCUGUGCAUCACACUCCUCAUGGAUUCAGUGCCUUUGUAUCCAUCAUGCGUGGCUGCGACAACAUGUGUAGCUACUGCAUCGUUCCUUUCACCCGUGGACGAGAGAGAAGUCGACCUGUCAGCUCCAUCCUGGAGGAAGUUCGGAAGCUCUCCGAUCAGGGAGUGAAGGAGGUGACGUUGCUGGGUCAGAACGUGAACAGCUAUAGAGACACAUCAGAAGAACAGUUCUGCGGUUCAGAUCCGACCAAGAUGAGUCGAGGCUUUAAGACCGUGUACCGCAGCAAACAGGGAGGACUGCGCUUCUCGGACCUCCUGGACUCUGUGUCACUUAUCGACCCAGAUAUGAGGAUCAGAUUUACUUCUCCUCAUCCCAAAGACUUUCCUGAUGAGGUUUUACAGUUAAUCGCGGAACGUCGGAACAUCUGCAGUCAGAUCCACCUUCCUGCUCAAAGUGGGAGCACCCAGGUCCUGACUGCUAUGCGGCGGGGAUACUCCAGAGAGGCCUAUCUGGACCUGGUGCACAACAUCAGAAGGAUCAUCCCAGAUGUGAGCCUCAGCAGUGACUUCAUCUCUGGGUUCUGUGGUGAGACAGAGCAGGACCACCAGCAGACUCUGUCUCUCAUCAGAGAAGUGGGAUACAAUAUCGGAUUCCUCUUUGCCUACAGCAUGAGAGCGAAAACUCAUGCGUCCCAUCGUCUGCAAGAUGACGUGCCUGCAGAGGUGAAGCGGCGUCGGUUGGAGGAGUGUAUCAGCUUGUUCAGAGAGGAGGCAGCGAAGGUCAAUGCUGCGCUGAUCGGCAGCACACAGCUCAUCCUGGUGGAGGGAGAAAGUAAAAGGUCCAGCAAGGACUUGUGUGGGCGGACCGACGGAAAUAUGAAGGUGAUUUUCCCGAAAGAGGAUGGAGAGAGUGUCGGCGCCGGGGACUAUGCUCUGGUGAAGAUAGUUUCAGCCAACUCCCAAAGUUUAAGAGGAGAAGUGGUCUGUCGCAGCUCUCUGGGGAGACCCGUCGCUCAUCAGGUGACUCCACUCACGCUCUCGUCUUCGUGAUGGCAACACUGGAGGGGUUGUUGAACUGUGUUUUUAUUAAGGAACAUUCGCUCUGGACCUCUGUGCUUCUUUGCGGGAAAACAAAGAAAACCGCCGACUCAUCGCCUCAUCGAGAACACGCAGAACAUGAUUUCAACAUAGUUGCUGAAGAUCAUCUGGCAAACAUCCCCGUGGAUCCUUGAUGUGGACCUCAGCCAUCAAAGGCGACAUCCGUGCCGAUGAGCACGUAAUCCUGCGCACAUAACAGUCAUGUGUCGGACAAGCUUCACCAGGUGUUUGGUUUGAUAAGGGUGUGUUUUCUCACCUUCAGAACUCUGAGUUGGGUGUUCAAGAGCGCCACCUUCCCCAGUGUGGGAAGUGGGCACACCCACUUCAGUUUUUCUAGAGAGGAGAAUAAACAACUUGAGACUGUCACAGCCUGCUUUUACUGCUGGAGAUGUUUCACUUGAGAUGCGCGGUGAUGCUUCAUGAAACCUGUUUAUAAACUGAGCUGCUGCAGGGACACUGUGUAACACGGUGACCACAUGACCUGCGGUGGUUUGGAUGACACUCUGCAACUGUUGAUGUUGCAGUGUUUAUUUGUUCAGGAACUUGAACUCACCAUUUAUUUUCGGUAUCGCCACCAAACUCAGCAUCUGCUGCAGAGUGCCUGCAAAGGAGUGGACCUGUGAGCAGCAAUGCAAGAGGGGUUCUGUUGGGACUCUUCAGCAGCUCAUUUCAAAUUAACCUCCAUCUUCAGUCAUGAGUGCCACUCACCCGGAUGUUUCCAAUGUAGCUGGUAUUAAGGCUGAAGGUCAUUCUGUGCCAGUGAGGUCAAAUUAGAGGUCGACUUUCAUCAUGUGUCACUUCUGUUUUGUGCCAACUCACUUGUCGAGAAUGAAGUUGGCAACCAGCUUCAUCCCACUGAUGGACAGGUUGACGCUGGCGCUGGCAUUCUGCCGGGACGGUUACAUGGUAGUCAGUGAAAACACACACACACACACACCUUCACACAAAUGUAUAGAUUUACAAACAAAUAACAGUGCAAACACCAGCCUCCUCACUGAAACACCAGCUGUGAGCUUGUGACACGGGUCUCCAACCCACCACAUUCAAGACGAAGAGUGGCGACAGCCCACCGUUGUUCUGGACUGCGUAGGCCGUCAUUGUCACUGUCGUCUUGACCAUCACGUUGUUGUUGUAAAUGAUAUUGGGCCAUUUUUCAUUCUCCACCCGAAGUUGGACAUUGAGGUUUGGGUGGAGUUCGGCAACCUGCAACAGAACUUCCUGUUUAAAUCUCUAAAGGACCAAAUCAGAAGAUUGAGAGAGAAAAAGAUUGUCACCUUUGGGAUGAAAAUUCCCAAACUCUCUGUGGUGAGUGGCAAAGGAAAGUCCUUAGGAAUCUGUGGGGACACAGAACUGUCAUGACAAUGUUUCAGCUUGAAGAGCAGUUGCAGAGGAAGCAAUUGCUAGAGAAACACUUCACGAUGACAGUCUGAUGUAGCGCCUCACAUCAUUUUUGAACUUGGAGCGCCACCUACUGAGCUCUGAAAAUGAUGACACUGCUUUAUGAAGCUUCUUCAGCCCACAACUGCUGGACAAAACGAGAAGAGCGACGAAACAACCUCCAUUAUUGUAUAGCCGUCCCUGCCGGACAGAAUAUGUCGACAUUGAAAACACAGACCGUACAUUGUGUGGCUCACCAUGUCGGCGGUGAUGUUGAUGCUGAGCGCGCCUGCUGUGUUGUACACGAACCCGGCGCUGUUGCCGGUGAAGGGAGAGAUGCCCAUGUACAACAUGUUGUCGCGUUGAGGAGGCAGAGAAAAGGCCGCUGGGGAGAAGGGCGGCUCCUGGCGCUUCCCGAUGUUGUAAAACUGCCCCUAAACAACGAAGACAUGUUCAACAUGGCUAUAUUCUCUCCUAAAUCAAACAGUUCACCUUCAGAUUUAAGGUGAUGGCAGAGCUGGAGAUAGAGGGCGCUGACACCAUGGAGUAAUCGAUCUCCGCAAACUUAUCCACCUUGGCGAUGACUGCGGGAGAUUAAUAAAGAAGUAGUUAAGAGUAUUUUGGCAUAAUGUGUGGAAUCAGAGCAGCAAAGUUGAAUGAUAUACCGUUCAGUUUUUGGAGCUGAGGGUUCAGACCUGACACUGCUGUCCCCAUUGAAGGGCAUAUCUGAAACAUAACACCGUGAAAGUUAUUGCCUGUUGAGAACAAUGUUGUUGCUGUUUGUUGAUUUGAGAAUCAGAGUGCUGAAAAAACAACAACACAAAGGGUGAAUUCCAAUUCCUUCCUCAAUCUUAACCCUCAACCUCAUUCCUCAAAACCAAGAGUUGAAGAAGAUCUUGUUCCUUAGAAAUGGGACACUCCUUAAUGCAGGUUCAGGUACAUGAAUAUGUACAUUGAUAUUACCGUUGAGAAAAAUGACCAUUUUGUAGCGAUAACCAACUUAAAAGAUAGCGAUGUAGCUAGUCCGCACUAGCUGCUUUUUACAAAGCAUCAAAUAAAAAUAAAUAUCAAGCAAUGCAAGAAAGCAAGAAAAUGGCCAUGAACUCAGAUAAUACAAUGGUUUUCAUAAUUUUAUAUCACCAUUGACAAAGAAAAUAUUUACAUUUGUCGCUUGGUCUCUUUGUUUUCAACACCAUCUUUGAUACUACACAAAGGAUUCUGGGUAUUCCUCAAUACAAUUCCUCAGGAUUGAGGAAGCUACGUUCUUAACUUUAACUUCCUAAGAAUUGGGACAGUCCUUGCUCCUCGUGAGAAUGUGCAUUUUUGAGGAUUGAGGUUGUGGAAUAAGGAAAGAAUUGGAACCUCUGGUCCAUAAUUUUUCUGGUCAUUAAAACUUCUGAUGAAUUUUUACUUGAAAAAACGGAAAAAAACAGGGCAGCAGUUCAGUAAGGGACUGAAGUCAUAUGUCUCCAGAUGGUAUCAAGUAAGCAGAAAUAGAUUUAGGACAGCCUAACUUGACGCUUAUCCGUACUCUAUUUUGGAUCUUAUUUAAGAAGAGGCCAGCAACCGGUUCAUACUUAGACUGGUCCCGAGAAACCUUCUUCUGCCAGCAACAUAGUCCCUCCAGUGUCCAAAAUCUGGCACUUACAAACAUUUUUUAAAAUAUUCAAUAUGUAUUUUGUCUUUUCAUUUUCAUUAUCAAUGUGCAAACCUGGUAGCUAACACUACAGAUUUGCUAAAGUGAAAAUAGAUCAUGGUACUUCAUCAGUAUGAGUUUGUUAAAAGAAAAACUGUAAUUGUAUGGUUAACUUUUUGGUCUACUGUUCACGCGUAGGGUAGCUUAGGGUGUUAUGUAACUUUGAGACAUUUUUCCAUAUUUUGGAAUAUCUCACAAUUGAAACCGAAAUGGAACGCAUCUAGGAUGACAGUCCAGUCCAGGAUAUAGUGAAGUUUUUAUGUAUCAAAAUAAACAGUUACAAGCAUUUUCAGGGGGCUUACAAGUAUGCAUGAUUUCGAGCUAUUGGUGCUUGUCUUUGGUCCCAGCAAAUACACAUGGGAGAAUCCACUGCGUUUCAAGGAGGAAGUUGAUACAAGCAUAAAGGAGUGUUAUGUUAUGUUAAGUGUUUGGCGAACAACAUGAAGCUCUUUGGUGUGUCCGACAUCUUACCCUUGCCUCCAGUGCUCUGCGUAUAGCAUGUUCGACAAACUUAUGAAAAAGAUUGUAGAGCCAGCUGUAACAAAGGCAAACAACAUGAGUGUGUCUUUCCGUUCUCGACCUCAUCCUGACCCUCUCACCUGGCUCCACCGUAAAAUUUGAUGCCCACGCGGCCCACACUGGCUGCACAGUUGACACUGUUGACCACGGGGCGGCCCGUGUCAUCACUUGUUAUCGCGACAUUAGUCUGGAUGUUCAGAGCGUAGAUGCUCAAAGUAAAGGAGCCGCUGGCUUUGCUGUAGAUAUAAGGCAUCUUUAACUUAACUGCUAGUUUUGGGAAGGUCACGAGGUGUGUGUUUACUCACAUGACUCGCAGGUACCGGACCCACCAGUUGCCCACCAUGCUGACAAAGGCACCAGGGAUGUUCAGUCUGACUCCAACGUUUGGCACCAGGGUCACCAGUGACUGUGGUAAUGCCACAUUCACGAUCUGCAUGCUGGAAAUAGGGCACUUCGUUUUAUCGCUCACGAAACACUGGUGGCCAGAAACAUUGGUUUCCUUUCAUUUAGUCUGAAAAAUACAAGCAACGUCUUUCUUUCUUUUUUUUUUUUUAACUUUAUUUAUUUAUUUUUGUUUGUUUUUUCUUUGUCCAUGUUAAUGUUGUUGGUUUGCAUUGCAGCAACACACAAUAAAUAAAUAAAUUAAAGAUGCAGUGUCCAAUUACAUUUUUUUGAAACACAGAAUUUGAAAAUAACUGUUGCCAAAGUUACCUUGAAAAAAUAAAAUAAUCCUGUCUAGUAAUAGGUAGAUGAGGUAUCAUGAAACGGUAUUGCAGGGUUGAAGCAACAGUGUCGUAAUUUUAAGAGGCCACUAGAGGCGCUUUUGCUUUAGAAAUUAUGUGAGGUUUCAGUGAAUCAGCCCAAACAUUUUACAGCAGACAACGCCAUCUGGUGGCCUCAGAAAACCAGAACACUGUCUAAUACUGUGUCACAAAGCCGCAUCUACCCAUCGCUACUACUGACUUCCUCCUUGAGGAAUGAACAGUAGGUCCCCUAGAAACACAUUUUGCUGACAGCAUUCUGUUCUCUUCAGUUAUUAUUUCCAAGGGAUGUGGUACCAAAUGUGGAGGUGAGGUGCCAGUACGUUUGUCUUGGGUCAUGACUGUACAUUUCUGUACCCGACUUUUUCUGGUGUCUUACUUGGACAGGCUGUAUUGGACUUUCCCGACUCGAGAAACCUGUUGUGUCCCAGAUAUAUCUGGAAUGCUGAUUCUCUGAAGCUCCUGCUGGAUCCUUGCCAUCCCAAUUUGUCUGGCUGUAGACGGAGAAAACAAAACAAAACAAUAUUUCGAUAAAGUGGGAGCCACACUCCUUUAGGUGGUAAAUAUUGUCAGAGACGACGCGAUAUCAAAACUGGCAGUUCGUAUUUGAUAUGCAUGGAUUCUUGAGAAGAUAGAUUCAACCAGACAUUACCAUAUUCCAGUCCCUUUUCCGUCAGCUUGACCUGCGCUCCAGGGUUGGUGCUCGAGCUGAUGUGGGUGAGAGCCACCAGAACCAGCCAACAACACAGAAACAUCUUCACUGUAAGCAGUCAAAGACUCAACUGAGUUGGAAAGCCAAACCUGACCUUAUUAUCGUUGUACUUCCUCAGUACUGUAAAGUAAUAAAUAGUGCGUUUGCUCCAAUAAAACUGCUGCAGACCUUUCUUCAAGAAGGUUUUAUACAGUGUGAAACUGGCUUGACCACGUCUUCUUAGUCCUCUAUUGGUCUUUUUGCCACAUGUGUUUCCAUGUUGUGUAUUUUCACAGCCUUUGUAUCGUAGAAUAAGCGGAGAUUUGCAUUUACAAAUCAUGUUUUAUGAGUGUGUAAGACCUUUCCACCACUUCCUACAAUUAAUGAGGUUAAUAACAAAUCUGUGACUCACCAGUGCAGAUUCAAGUUCUACUGUUCAGUGAGUUAUUUGUGCAAUAAAAAAGUAAUCACGCUUUAUUUAGCACAGGUAGGAAUCUUGAAUAGCAUGUGUUAUUCAUAUGUGGGAUUUAGCUUCCAUCGAAUAAAUGUAUCCACAUGUAUUUGGCAAAUGCUUUGUCUGUGUACUGCAGAUAAAUAUCAUAUUCCUGCUUUGACUUGAACGACGAGUUCAAUGAAACCUCACAUCACAUCAUUUCUAAACCAAGCGUUGUCUAGUGGCCUCUGAAAAUUCGGCCUCUGUUUCAUCCGCCCUGCAAUACUGUGUCAUGCUACCUCAUCCAUCCAUCACCAGGACUGUUUUUAUAAGGCUGUUUUUGUCCCAAAAACAGGACAAAAGCAGACUGAUCAUCGCUUUGCUUGUGUCCCCCUACUGUCAUAAAGUUAGCCUCCCAAUCCUCAAGUUCACUGGUGUGUGUAGGUCUCAAGAUUUUCUUUUUCUUUUUUUCAUAUUGUCUGCAUUAAUAUUAUAAGUUUAAGCUAGAAACUAGCAAGGACAAAAUAUUGACAAUGAAAAUGAGAAAGAAUGCAUUUUAUUUUGGUACAGCAUUUUAACAUCUUCCCAAACAAUUUCAUUGAAAAAGGCACAAUUUUCUGACUCAAACCGUGUCAAUGUCGGGAGGUUAGCAUGUAUAUUAUAGCGCACAUCCUAAUUCAGAUUUGCUACUGUGUCUUUUUAUAGCAUUAUUUGACGUUGUAGUAUCGUUUUGUUGUUGUGUGUGGAACGUUUUAUUGCUGUAGGACAAGGUCAAAAAUCCUGUUUAAUAAUCAAGGUGCUUGGGACGGUCAGACAUGGUUGCUAUGUUUGGCUAUUUGACUACAACUGUUGCUGCCUCUUGUGGCCAUGCAAUGUCCAUGCAUCUGUCCGCAGCGCCCUCUGCUGUGCAGUAGGCUUUGUGCCGCAGUAUAACCUUCGGAAGAUCCCGAUAAGAUAUGUGCUUCUGCAGGUUUCUCUCUCUUCUGGGUUUUUACAGCAGAUAUCGAAGACAGUUUUCAAAAAUACAUAGAAAAUACCUUAAACUCUGAAGAAAAAUACUUGUAUAAAAUAUAAGAUAAUUUAAACUCUGAUGGAAUUAUUCCUGCAAAUUUAUCAGAAAACACAUGUAUUGAAAAGGACUUUUCAAACAUGUCAGCCUGUGAUGUAAACAAAGAGCAUCCAACAAGUCUCACCAGCAGAACAGUCCAGAUAUUAAAAAAAAAAAAGAAAGUCACUGCGUGAACUAAACAUCCCAGUGGAGCCUUGUCGACUUCAGCCAGCGAACUGGACGUCGGUGCCGAUCAGUAUGUAGUCCUGCACACAGACAUGACUGUUGUGAGUUUGUUCGUCUAUUUAGAUGUUUGUUUUGACAAAAGUCUGUUCUCUGACCUUCAGAACUCUGAGUUGGGUGUUGACAAGCUGCAUCUUCCCCAGCGCAGGAAGUGGGUAUCCCUCUGCAAACUUGACUGUAAGAGGAGAACAAACAGCUUGAGGAUGGGCAUCACGUGAGGUUUUUCAACCUGAUUCCAAAACGACAUGUUCUAACACAGCAGCUGCAGCUGAGACCUCCUGUCUCUUGGUGACCACGCGAGCAGCUGGAGUUAUGGAUCACAUGCUGUAUUCAUGUGUUCGGAUUGUUCAACUCACCAUUCAGCUUGGGUAUCACCACCCACCUCAGCACCAUAGACAGGAUGCUGUUGAGGGAUCGGACCUGUGAGGAACGACACCAGACAGGCUCUGUUGGUUCAUGCAUCCGACUUGAAAUGGACCUUCAGUCAUGAGUUCGACUCACCUGGAAGUCUCCCACAUAGCUGGUUUGGAGUGUCAAGGUCAUUCUGUGCAAACAAGGUCAAGUGAGAAACAUUUUGAAACACAUGGUGCUUUAUGAGUUUCUGUAAACUCACUGGUUGAGGAUGACUUUUCCGGCCAGCUUCAUCCCAUUAAUGGACACGUUGCCGCUGACGCUGGCAUCCUGCAGAGAGAUGGUGACAUCACAAACAUGGCUUCACACACACGAGCACCCAACCACAUAUAGACACGCCCUCUUUCAGGAGGUUUGGGACAUUAAUAAUGACCUCCAUUAUCACCCCCUUUCUCCAUGAAACACAGUACAAGAGAGAAAGAGAUGGGAGCUCAUAUAGAAUGUCUGAAACCAAAAUUGAGCACAUUUUAAAUGUACUAUACUUGUCAUUUGUUGGUGUUUUUGGCAACUCUCACUGAGGAUCGUGGUGUCUGCUUGUAGCAUUAGCAACUUGACUAACCGGUCCACGUCAUGACGUCCAUUUUGACUCGAUCUCAGUGUGUUGAAUGGCGUUUGUUCUUAUGUUAUUAUAUUUAUUAUAUAGUGUCGAUAGUUCAUAGGUUCUUUGUUAUGUAUUGAUAUAGUUUUCAUUACAGUCUAGAUUGAUUACACAACCAUUUUAACAUCAAUAUUUGAAAAAUAAAUACAGAAUAAAGUUGGAACGAUAGGAGAAAAAAAAAUACUGGAAGCCAUAUUGCCCAGCCCAAUAAAUUCAUACACAUUUGGCUUCAUAGAAGUACAUUUACAAACACAUAAGCACACACACAUACCAAAAAAUUGGAUUGCACUGAGACUCUGCACUUUGUUUUUUCUCACACAUAUAGCAGAAGAUGCCACAAACUUCCGCAACAGUACCUCAAACUAGCAAACACCCACUCAGUCAAACAAAGAAACCAUGGUUCUCUACCAUGUUCAAGAUGAAGAGGGGCGACAGCGUGCCGUUGCUCUGCACUGCGUAAGCCGUCACGGACGCUACUGUCUGAACCGUGGCGUUGUUGUUGUCCAGAAUGAUGUUGGGUGUUUGUUCGUUCUUCACCAAAAGUUUGAUCAUCAUGUUUGGGUACUGUUUGGCAACCUGCAACAGAAGCACCAAACUUCUUGUUCAACGCUCAGAAGCGUCAAAUGAGGAGAGAAAGACUACUACCUCUGGAAUGAAUGUUCCAAAAGUCCGAGUGUUCAGGCGGAAAGGAGAAGCCUGUGGGAUCUGUUGGAAGACAGUUGAACAGUUAUCCUGGUGUCGGAGACAUCCACCUGCAGCUAGUGGCAAAUCUCAGCGGCUCACCAUGUCGUCUGUGAUGUAGAGGCUGAGCGCGCCUGCGGUGUUGUACACGAACCCGGCGCUGUUGCUGGUGAAGGCAGAGAUGCCGAUGUACAACAUGUUGUCGUGUUGAGGAGGCAGAGAGAAGGCCACCGGGGAGAAGGGCGGCUCCUGGUGCCUCCCGAUGUUGUAAAACUCUCCCUGAACAAUGAGGACAGUGGAUCAACAUGGCUGCAUUCUCUCAUGAGUAGCAGAGUAGUUCACCUUCAGGUUGAAGCUGAUGGCAGAGCUAGAGACAGGGGGCGCUGACACCAGGGAGUAUUCAAUCUCUGCAAACUGAUCCACCUUGGCGAUGACUGCAGGAGAUUAUAAGCCAUUAAUAUUUUUUCCUAACACCGAGUGACAAAGUCAGUACCGUUGAGUGUUUUGAGCUGAGGGUUCAGGUCUGACACCGCAUCCGCCACCAGAGGGCACAUCUGAAACACAACACAAUGGUUUGCUGUUGAAAUGAAGGAUAUUGAGUAAAUAUCUGAAUUGAUUGAUUACACUUUGCUUCAUAUUAAUGGAAUAAUAAUUUGGUUUUCUGGGCCUGUCAUGUCACUGUGGUCACUCAGACCCCAGUUAUGUUUUUGAAUGGACUGUCAAUAGAUUGAAACUGUUCAUCUCAGUUAAUAAAAAAAAAACCUCUUGAAUAAUAAAAAUAAAAUUAAUCACACAUGUUGCAUCUGUUUUAAAUGUAACACGAGAGUGGCCAUUAAUAUUCUGCUUUUAGCAUGUUUUUUUUUUUUUUUUCAACCUUUUCAGAGCCUGUGAGCUUAUUCUAAAGAAUGUUCCUGACCAGCAUCUGUUGGUUUGUUUCAGUAAGCAAAGCAUUACUGGCCACUCCUGUGUUGCUCAUGUCAUCCUUAAAGUUACAUUUAGAACAGAUAAAAAUGAUGCGCUUAAUUUGCCGUUAAUCGCGAAUUAACUUGCGAUUAAUUGAGAUUAAAAAUGUUGAAAUGGACAGCACUAGUUUUUGACAGAAAAAAAAUAGAAACUUUUAACCUACCCUUGUAGAGACUUCACUGAUAAUAAUAAUAAUAAUAAUAAUAAUAAUAAUAAUAAUAAUAAUAAUAAUAAUAAUAAUAAUGUGUAACUGUGAUGCCUUAUUGGGUGUUCUGUCUGAAGCCAUUUCAAUUUGUCCAGUUUGUAUUCAACAGCACUUCAACAACGGAAGGUUCUAGCAUGGAAACUGGUGGUGAAACGUUUUCACAAUGCCUCUGUCAGAUGAUGCUCAAAAAUGUAAAUAAUAUAUAGUAAAACAAUGUAUUAUGUAUAUGUAUGUAUGUAAAUGUAUAAAAAAAUAAAU